Panthera pardus (leopard) is the source of this 230-nucleotide unclassified non-coding RNA. Lineage: Eukaryota; Metazoa; Chordata; Mammalia; Carnivora; Felidae. The record is from Ensembl.
AAGGAGAAGCGCUGGGAACCCGGGUUGGAGUGCGUUUCGGGGCACGUGGAAAAGCCCGGGAGAGGCAGGGGGUAGCGGCGACGGCGCAACCUGGAACCGCCUGGAGCGCGGGCGGGCAGCGGCCGGUUGCCGCCAGGCCUCUUAUUCCAGGCUGGCCGCGGAUGGGGCCCGCAGCUCUAGCGAAGCGACAACCAAGGUAGCCGCAGUUUUACAAAGAAACAGAACGUUUU